RNAcentral lists this ribosomal RNA (253 nucleotides) under uncultured bacterium. RNAcentral describes it as "partial 16S ribosomal RNA". It matches the Rfam family "Bacterial small subunit ribosomal RNA", at positions 524 to 776 of the family's 1533-position model. The record is from RNAcentral.
GACGUAGGGUGCAAGCGUUGUCCGGAUUUACUGGGCGUAAAGAGCGCGUAGGCGGCUCGUUAAGUGAGAAGUGAAAGCUCUUGGCUCAACCAAGAAACCGCUUUUCAUACUGGCGAGCUGGAGUGAUGCAGAGGUGGAUAGAAUUCCUGGUGUAGCGGUGAAAUGCGUUGAUAUCAGGAGGAAUACCCGUGGCGAAGGCGGUCCACUGGGCAUCAACUGACGCUGAGGCGCGAAAGCGUGGGUAGCAAACAGG